Molecule: ribosomal RNA, 447 nt
Filed under: uncultured bacterium
Lineage: Bacteria
Description: bacterial SSU rRNA
Rfam family: Bacterial small subunit ribosomal RNA
Source: RNAcentral
UCGGGAAUUUUGGGCAAUGGGCGAAAGCCUGACCCAGCAACGCCGCGUGAAGGAUGAAGUAUUUCGGUAUGUAAACUUCGUAAGAAUAGGAAGAAUAAAUGACGGUACUAUUUGUAAGGUCCGGCUAACUACGUGCCAGCAGCCGCGGUAAUACGUAGGGACCAAGCGUUGUUCGGAUUUACUGGGCGUAAAGGGCGCGUAGGCGGCGUGGUAAGUCAUCUGUGAAAUCUCCGAGCUUAACUCGGAACGGUCAGAUGAUACUGCUGUGCUAGAGUGCAGAAGGGGCAAUCGGAAUUCUUGGUGUAGCGGUGAAAUGCGUAGAUAUCAAGAGGAACACCUGAGGUGAAGACGGGUUGCUGGGCUGACACUGACGCUGAGGCGCGAAAGCCAGGGGAGCAAACGGGAUUAGAUACCCGAGUAGUCCCUGAGCGGGCUGGCAAGGCGCAU